UACGUAGGUGACGAGCGUUGUCCGGAAUCAUUGGGCGUAAAGAGCGCGUAGGCGGCCCUGUAAGUCCGCUGUGAAAGUCCAGGGCUCAACCCUGGGAUGCCGGUCGAUACUGCCGGACUAGAGUUCAGAAGAGGCGAGUGGAAUUCCCGGUGUAGCGGUGAAAUGCGCAGAUAUCGGGAGGAACACCUAUGGCGAAGGCAGCUCGCUGGGACGUUACUGACGCUGAGACGCGAAAGCGUGGGGAGCAAACAGG
This 253-nucleotide ribosomal RNA is filed under the name uncultured bacterium. RNAcentral describes it as "partial 16S ribosomal RNA". It matches the Rfam family "Bacterial small subunit ribosomal RNA", at positions 524 to 776 of the family's 1533-position model. The record is from RNAcentral.